CCUUCAGCAUGUAGAAAGGCCUGAUGUCUUCAGAAAGGACAUGCUAAGAUUCAGAAAAAGAGAAUGUACUGUGGAACAAAUUGUCCAGGCAGCUCAUGAUGGUGAACCAGCAAAACUGCACAGCUGUUGGGUGCAUGCAGUGUUGGGUCUGCACCUGCUGUUGGUGGGUCAUACAACUAAAAGGGCACGUUAAGGCACCUAUGCUAUUUCCUGGGAAAACAGAAAUGAAUGUACUUUUAUGAGGGCACCCAGUCUUUGUAAGCCUGCCUAUCUAUGUCUAAUUGCAUAGUUAGAAAAGAUCAAUGCUGCUGGUUUUGUCUCAGGUAUGAAGAUUGAGUUCAGCUGAGAGCAUCAAGGCAAUAAAAUGAGAAAAGCCGAGUCUUGCCUUUUGAAAGCUGGCAAAACAUGGGUGCUGUUUUCUUACUGGAGUGGGUUUGUUUUCCCUAAAAGCAGAAAGCAGAAGCAGUUUGCAAGCUGGCCUGGAGUCUCUUCUCAGCUCAACUGCCUGCAGGUAGUUGGAGCACGUGGAGCCCAUGCUUAACUCUGCAUUUGAUAUGAAAUUUUGAAAAUCCCCCUGCUGAUCUGAGUGAGGACCUCAUCUCUGAGAGGGCUGCCAGUGCCUUGCGCUUGGACUGGACAUCUCCAGUGCUCAGCUGCUGAACAGAAAAGGUUUUGCUGUUUCUGUUUCACAGAAAAUGUUCUGUGAAAUCGAGCAUCUUCCUCCAUUUCCCUGUCUGUAGGGAAAGAAAGAGCUUUACAAAGGUAAAAUGUUCUUUGCUGGGCCAAGGAGUUGUUUUACAGACCACAGAGGGCACAGAAAGCCUUGGUCAGUCUGGAAUCUUCUCAGCGGCAUCUCUGUAAGCCAGAUCAUGCACGUUUUGUGCCUGCCAGCUCUAUUUAUGUUGUCUACAUUUUCCUGUAUCAGGAGUAUAAGACCUAUUUAAACCUCUUCCAGGCACAAGUUAUUCUUCAUAUCUAUUUUGUAAUAUGAAAAAAAAAAACAACACCCCAAGACAAAAAGAAACAAAACAAAACAUGGAGAAUUUGAGAUUGAGUAUAAAAAAAUUAUUUAUCUUGUGAUAACAAUGUAAUUUCCCCAGUUAAUAUUAAUACUUAAAUUAAUACUGAAUUAAUCAAUUAACUGAAAAAUGUGGAAUAGGAGUUUGUAAAUAUCACACAGGAAAUUUAAUAUAUGUGAAUUAAAAUGAUACUGGUCUCUGCUGUAAACAUAAUAUGCACUUUAUUUUUGUACAUGGUCAAACAUGGAAUGAGGCAAUUUAGCCAAAGGAAAUGAUAAGCAAUGUAAGUCAUCACUACCCCAUGGAAAUCUGCAGAAUGCCAAUAAUUUAAUAAAACAUGUGCUUGCUAGAUCA
RNAcentral lists this long non-coding RNA (1373 nucleotides) under Anas platyrhynchos platyrhynchos (common mallard). RNAcentral's name for it is "lncRNA (ENSAPLG00000023442.1)". Lineage: Eukaryota; Metazoa; Chordata; Aves; Anseriformes; Anatidae. The record is from RNAcentral.